Cercocebus atys (sooty mangabey) is the source of this 102-nucleotide small nuclear RNA. NCBI's taxonomy places the organism in Eukaryota, Metazoa, Chordata, Mammalia, Primates, Cercopithecidae. The record is from Ensembl.
GUGAUGUCUUCAACAGCACAUAUACUAAAAUUGGAACAAUGCAGAGAUUAGUAUGACCCCUGCCCAUGGAUGACACAAGUUUGUGAAACCUUCCAUAUUAAA